This 499-nucleotide ribosomal RNA is filed under the name uncultured bacterium. RNAcentral's name for it is "partial 16S ribosomal RNA". It matches the Rfam family "Bacterial small subunit ribosomal RNA", at positions 28 to 507 of the family's 1533-position model. The record is from RNAcentral.
GACGAACGCCGGCGGCGUGCCUAAUACAUGCAAGUCGAGCGAAGUUUUUCUGGUGCUUGCACUAGAAAAACUUAGCGGCGAACGGGUGAGUAACACGUAAAGAACCUGCCUCAUAGACUGGGACAACUAUUGGAAACGAUAGCUAAUACCGGAUAACAGUAUUUCUCGCAUGAGAGAUAUUUAAAAGUUGGUUAUGCUAACACUAUGAGAUGGCUUUGCGGUGCAUUAGCUAGUUGGUGGGGUAAAGGCCCACCAAGGCGACGAUGCAUAGCCGACCUGAGAGGGUGAUCGGCCACACUGGGACUGAGACACGGCCCAGACUCCUACGGGAGGCAGCAGUAGGGAAUCUUCCGCAAUGGGCGAAAGCCUGACGGAGCAACGCCGCGUGAGUGAAGAAGGAUUUCGGUUCGUAAAGCUCUGUUGUUAGGGAAGAAUGGAUAUGUAGUAACUAUACAUGUAAGAGACGGUACCUAACCAGAAAGCCACGGCUAACUACGUG